AAACUUCUCCAAUGAAAAAUUUUAUAAAUUUCAUAACAAUGACUCCACCUACACCCGACCACAGAGACCUCUACGGUUAUAUCUAUUUUUCCUUUUUUCUUUUCUUUAGACUUGUUUCAAUCACCACAUUUAUAUGUAAAAAGAAAAAAGAAGAAGAAGAAAGAGGGACAUUAUCAGAUUUGGAUUCGUUCAUUCCGGCCCUAAACGACCACACUUGUUGGAGAUGAAAGAAUAAGUCGAUAUGCAAAGUCAAGGCUCACCAUUGAUGUUGGGAGAGCCAUUCAAUGCUUCUUUUCUUGACAAGGAGACACCUGUUCUUGUCAAUGCUGUAAUCUCACCGUUAUUCUAACAGACAAGAGUCCAUCAUAACUAUAGUUCAACAUCUCAUUGCUCCAAUAUAUUUUUAAGAACCAAACCUAAGUGAUCAGUUGAAUCUCCCUUUCCCCCCUCCCUACCACCUUUUUUUCUGAAUAAAUUCCCCUAAUCAAAACAAAAACGUGCACAGUACUGAAAAGAAUAAAAAAAAAAGGGACGACAAGGGCCUAACAUCUCAUCUGGUUAGCUUGUGAAACAUGACAAGUGUUGAUGCAAUCUAAAAAAGUCAAUGUCACUUUUUGCCCUUUUGGUGAUAUCCCUUGUUCACGUUUGAACAACAUCACCAUGAAGCAUUUGGCCUUUCAUGUUCAUUUAUUGUCUUUGUCACGAUAACAUAGACGCUAUGGUCAGAUUUUUGUCAACCUUAAUGCGCGAAAAUAUCCUUAUUGUGAAUGUUAGAUGAUGCAAACUAACUGAUCAUAUUCUUACCAUGUCCCACCUCUAUUCACAGACACCGCAACUAGAGGCGAACCUAGGGGUGCUGGCAUGAGUCUCGGUCUCUCUAAAAUGAAAAAUUACUAUUUAAAUCUUUUAAAAUUUUUUAAAAUUUUAAAUUAGAAGAGAAAAAAUUAUACUUUAGUUUCCCUAAAAUUAUAAAAAAUUUAAUUUAAUAUUUUAUAAUUUAUAAACAAAAUAAAAUCUCAUUCUACCCCUAAAAAUAAUUCUAACUCCACAUAUAUCAUCAGCAAAUAGCAAACACUGUGCUUGCUGUUCUGGUUAUACCACUUUUAUGUAUUCCACAUUAAUUGUAACAGUAGCGGUGUUUAAAGUUGCAAAAUUUGGACAAAUUAAUUCAUAUCAUUGAAUUAUGUAUAUUUGGAUAUCUUACCAUAUAUGCACGAGGUAAUUAAUUAUUACCCUGCAUCAGAGUGAUAAAUGCAUUUCCAUCAUUAUGAGAAAUCAUUUCCUUAAUCUUGGCUUUUUAACUCUAUUGGGGUUGUUCAAAUGAUCCAGACAUGGAAGCUAUUUGAGCCAUUCACACUAUUGAAACCCAAUCAAAAUUUUGUUAUUUUAUAAAAUUAAAAUAAAUUUUAAUUAAUUGAUUAAUAUUUUUUUUAAUUUAUAUAAUCAUUCUUUAUUCACUUUACUUGGUUUUCAUCAUUUCUACGAUUUAAAUUAAUUUUUAGUUAGUGGAUUGAAUCAUGAGUCAAAUCACAAAAUCUAGUGCGGAAAUGAACCUUGCAUUAUGAAUAAUAUAGCAAUGAAUUUAAAUUUAAGGAAAGCCAUUUACUAAGUUGAAUGGUUUUGAGAAUCUUAAAUGCAGUGGGAACACCACAUCAACCCCAACUGAAAUUAAUCAAAAAGCAAGAGAGAGAGAGAGAGAGAGAGAGCACUUUAGAAUUUUGAUGAUUUCGCAUUCAUGAGGCAACUUAUACCAGCCCCAACACCCUCGAUCUUUGUGUAUAUAUACUCUCCCAAAGCAUACACAUUUUAUUCUAACGUAGGUUACAGUCUCUCUCCACUCUUUUUCUCUGCAACUCACAGUCAUGGUUUCUCACCUGGUCAACACUAUACGAAAUGUAGUAGGGAUCACAGGUAUUUUAGCUUAUACACCGAAUCUAUGAUACUUUCUUCCUGUUACAACAUGAGAUUCUAUUUUCAUAUCACUACAUAACUAAUAUGGGUUAUUCUGGGUUUUUUGCAGGGAACGUUAUCGCACUCUUCCUGUUCUUGUCUCCAGUGUAAGCUCUUCUUAGGCUUUUAUCAUAAUCUUUUCAUAGCACAGUGUUAUUUUUUUUUUUUUAAUUUCGAUAAAACUAAUACGAAAAGACAAACAUCCCUUGUUUGUCCGUGGAAACUGAAAAGAUAUUUUAGCCAUAGCAGUGACUGGGUUUGAUUUAUAUAAAAAUUAUAAUCAAUGCUCUUUUCCUUUUUUAAUUUUCCUAAUGAAAAUUUAUUUGUAAAAAAAAAGAUUGGAGUGAUAACUUUUUUACAAAUUACAAAAAUAAAUUUCUUUUUCAAAAAGAUUUAUUCUUAUUAAUCAUUAAUAAUCACAAAAGUAACAAAAAUUCCUUCCAACUUCUGUGUAUUUCAAAUUUAAUUUGAUAGCUAUUCAUAUUGUUCAAUCUCCUUCUGUAUUGAUAAUAAUAUUUAUGCGAAUUAAGUUAAAGAUUAAAAAAAACUAAUUUAAAAAUAAAACAAAUGAUUCCAUGUGCUAAAAUAAAGUUUUGAAUGAAUCAAAUACAUUAAAUCAAAAGUUAUAAUACUUUAAUUAAUCGAACAGGCACAUGUAUUAAGCAGUGGUCCUUGUUUAUUGACGUUAGUUACAAUGGAUUAAAUGGGUAAUCUUUUUUGCCUAAUCAUAUUUAUUAUUGCAGGCCAACUUUUAUUCGAAUUUGGAAGAAAGGAUCAGUGGAGCAGUUCUCCCCAGUACCAUACCUAGCAACCUUAAUCAAUUGCAUUGUUUGGGUCAUUUACGGCCUGCCAAUGGUGCAUCCCAACAGCAUCCUUGUUAUAACCAUCAAUGCUGCAGGGACCGCCAUCGAGGUCGUCUUCCUCGCCCUCUUCCUCAUCUUCUGUCAUGACAAGAAAAAGCGACUCAAAGUGCUACUUAUCAUCAUGGUCGAGCUCAUUUUCAUGGCCGCUCUCGCCACUCUGAUCCUCACUGUCCUUCACACCACUCAACGCCGAUCCAUAAUCGUUGGAAUUAUAGCAAUUUUGUUCAAUGUCAUGAUGUAUGCUGCGCCUUUAUCCGUCAUGGUUAGUAUCAUACAUGCACAUGCAUUUUUUUUACUAAUGAAUUUAGGUGGAACAUAGGUCCCUAACAGACUAGACGCAUUCAUGGAUCUAUAGUUACUCAUGAUUUAAAAUAAUAAAACAUAUUUUUAGGAUUGGAUAAGCUUGACUGCUUAGUCCAUGAACAUUUCUAAAUGAUACUGAAAUAAUUUGCAUUAAUUUCCGUGGGUUGGACACUCUUAUUGUAAGUAUAUAAUUAGUAGAAUUUUGUUAUUGGUUUAGCAUAUAUUCCUCAAUCCAACAGCCUUAGCUGUAUUCUCUCUCUCUAUAUAUAUAUAUACACACACACAAUAAUGAAUCAUGAUGGUGCAGAAACUGGUGAUUACGACGAAAAGUGUGGAGUAUAUGCCAUUUUUCCUCUCACUGGCUUCCUUUGCCAACGGUGUUGCUUGGACUACUUAUGCUUUCCUCCCUUUUGACCCCUUCAUUGCUGUAAGUUAUACCUAAUGUUUUUACCUCUUUUUCUUUUUGGCUCCUUAUUCGUAUAUAUGUAAGUAUUUAUAUUUCAGGUUCCAAAUGGAGUGGGCACAAUAUUUAGUUUAGCCCAGCUAUUGUUAUACGCCACAUAUUACAAGUCCACAAAGAGAAUAAUAGCAGCAAGGAAAGAGGCGAAGAUGGAGAUGCAUCUCUCGUUGUCGGACGUGGCCGUCGCCAACGGCGAUGUUGAUCCCAAGAAGACCGCUGGAGCAACACCUUAACCUUGAGAGACCCAAACAAUGCAUCCAUUUCCAAUAUAUAUAAUUAUAUCCAACUAUAUCUAUCUAUCUAUAUAUGUCUGUAUUAUUUAUAAAUAUAGACUAAUUAGUGGGUGCGAGUUUGUUUUAGUUAUCAACAUAUAUCCCUUUCGACUUCUCAAUCCAUGUUUGACUUUUUAUAAAAAUGUAUGGGCUAUUGAGAACAAAGUUGUCUUCAGUUAAUGGAUUGAUUAUGUUGAAGAAAGAUAUACACCCUCAUCUGCAUCUGUGCCUGUCAAUGCUGUAGUCUCACCGUUACUCUAACAGAUAAGAGUCCAUCAUACCAACAUCUCAUUGCUCCAAUAUAUUUGGUUGUGAUUUUUAAGAACCAAACCUAAGUGAUCAGUUGAAUCUCCCUUUCCCUCCUCCCCACCACCUUUUUUUCUGAAUAAAU
Molecule: long non-coding RNA, 4239 nt
Filed under: Gossypium barbadense (sea-island cotton)
Lineage: Eukaryota; Viridiplantae; Streptophyta; Magnoliopsida; Malvales; Malvaceae
Description: long non-coding RNA (GBAR_LNC018578)
Source: RNAcentral